Molecule: ribosomal RNA, 448 nt
Filed under: uncultured bacterium
Lineage: Bacteria
Description: bacterial SSU rRNA
Rfam family: Bacterial small subunit ribosomal RNA
Source: RNAcentral
CCCAGACUCCUACGGGAGGCAGCAGUGGGGAAUAUUGCACAAUGGGGGAAACCCUGAUGCAGCGACGCCGCGUGAGUGAAGAAGUAUUUCGGUAUGUAAAGCUCUAUCAGCAGGGAAGAAAAUGACGGUACCUGACUAAGAAGCCCCGGCUAACUACGUGCCAGCAGCCGCGGUAAUACGUAGGGGGCAAGCGUUAUCCGGAUUUACUGGGUGUAAAGGGAGCGUAGACGGUGAUGCAAGUCAGAAGUGAAAGCCCGGGGCUCAACUCCGGGACUGCUUUUGAAACUGUGUAACUGGAGUGCAGGAGAGGUGAGCGGAAUUCCUGGUGUAGCGGUGAAAUGCGUAGAUAUCAGGAGGAACACCAGUGGCGAAGGCGGCUUACUGGACUGUAACUGACGUUGAGGCUCGAAAGCGUGGGGAGCAAACAGGAUUAGAUACCCUGGUACGC